This 484-nucleotide ribosomal RNA is filed under the name uncultured bacterium. RNAcentral describes it as "partial 16S ribosomal RNA". It matches the Rfam family "Bacterial small subunit ribosomal RNA", at positions 30 to 507 of the family's 1533-position model. The record is from RNAcentral.
AUUGAACGCUGGCGGCAGGCCUAACACAUGCAAGUCGAGCGGAUGAAGGGAGCUUGCUCCUGGAUUCAGCGGCGGACGGGUGAGUAAUGCCUAGGAAUCUGCCUUGUAGUGUGGGAUAACGUCCGUAAACGGGCGCUAAUACCGCAUCCGACCUGAGGGAGAAAGUGGGGGAUCUUCGGACCUCACGCUAUCAGAUGAGCCUAGGUCGGAUUCGCUAGUUGGUGGGGUAGGGGCCUACCAAGGCGACGACCCGUAACUGGUCUGAUAGGAUGACCAGUCACACUGGAACUGAACCACGGUCCGGACUCCUACGGGAGGCACCAGUGGGGAAUAUUGGACAAUGGGCGAAAGCCUGAUCCAGCCAUGCCGCGUGGGUGAAGAAGGUCUUCGGAUUGAAAAGCACUUUAAGUUGGGAGGAAGAGCAGUAGGGUAAUACCUUGCUGUUUUGACGGUACCAACAGAAUAAGCACCGGCUAACUUCGUG